RNAcentral lists this ribosomal RNA (2714 nucleotides) under Burkholderia orbicola. RNAcentral's name for it is "partial 23S ribosomal RNA". It matches the Rfam family "Bacterial large subunit ribosomal RNA". The record is from RNAcentral. Lineage: Bacteria; Pseudomonadati; Pseudomonadota; Betaproteobacteria; Burkholderiales; Burkholderiaceae.
AGUGAAGCGAACGCGGUGAACUGAAACAUCUAAGUAACCGCAGGAAAAGAAAUCAACCGAGAUUCCCAAAGUAGUGGCGAGCGAAAUGGGAUGAGCCUUGCACUCUUUAUUUGUAUUGUUAGCCGAACGCUCUGGAAAGUGCGGCCAUAGCAGGUGAUAGCCCUGUAGGCGAAAACAGUAUGAAAGAACUAGGUGUGCGACAAGUAGGGCGGGACACGUGAAAUCCUGUCUGAAGAUGGGGGGACCAUCCUCCAAGGCUAAAUACUCGUGAUCGACCGAUAGUGAACCAGUACCGUGAGGGAAAGGCGAAAAGAACCCCGGGAGGGGAGUGAAAUAGAUCCUGAAACCGCAUGCAUACAAACAGUCGGAGCCUCGUAAGGGGUGACGGCGUACCUUUUGUAUAAUGGGUCAGCGACUUACGUUCAGUAGCAAGCUUAACCGUAUAGGGCAGGCGUAGCGAAAGCGAGUCCGAAUAGGGCGUUCAGUUGCUGGGCGUAGACCCGAAACCAGGUGAUCUAUCCAUGGCCAGGAUGAAGGUGCGGUAACACGUACUGGAGGUCCGAACCCACUAACGUUGAAAAGUUAGGGGAUGAGCUGUGGAUAGGGGUGAAAGGCUAAACAAACCUGGAAAUAGCUGGUUCUCUCCGAAAACUAUUUAGGUAGUGCCUCGUGUCUCACCUUCGGGGGUAGAGCACUGUCAUGGUUGGGGGGUCUAUUGCAGAUUACCCCGCCAUAGCAAACUCCGAAUACCGAAGAGUGCAAUCACGGGAGACAGACAUCGGGUGCUAACGUCCGGUGUCAAGAGGGAAACAACCCAGACCGCCAGCUAAGGUCCCCAAAUAUAGCUAAGUGGGAAACGAAGUGGGAAGGCUAAAACAGUCAGGAGGUUGGCUUAGAAGCAGCCACCCUUUAAAGAAAGCGUAAUAGCUCACUGAUCGAGUCGUCCUGCGCGGAAGAUGUAACGGGGCUAAGCUAUAUACCGAAGCUGCGGAUGCGAGCUUUGCUCGCAUGGUAGGAGAGCGUUCCGUAAGCCUGCGAAGGUGCCUUGUAAAGGGUGCUGGAGGUAUCGGAAGUGCGAAUGCUGACAUGAGUAGCGAUAAAGGGGGUGAAAGGCCCCCUCGCCGUAAGCCCAAGGUUUCCUACGCAACGUUCAUCGGCGUAGGGUGAGUCGGCCCCUAAGGCGAGGCAGAAAUGCGUAGCUGAUGGGAAGCAGGUCAAUAUUCCUGCACCAUUGUUAGAUGCGAUGGGGGGACGGAUCGCGGAAGGUUGUCCGGGUGUUGGAAGUCCCGGUCGCUGCAUUGGAGAAGGCGCUUAGGCAAAUCCGGGCGCGCAAUUCAAGGGUGUGGCGCGAGCUCCUUAGGGAGCGAAGCAAUUGGAAGUGGUUCCAAGAAAAGCCUCUAAGCUUCAGUCUAACGAUGACCGUACCGCAAACCGACACAGGUGGGCGAGAUGAGUAUUCUAAGGCGCUUGAGAGAACUCGGGAGAAGGAACUCGGCAAAUUGGUACCGUAACUUCGGGAUAAGGUACGCCCUUGUAGCUUGACUGGCCUGCGCCAGGAGGGUGAAGGGGUUGCAAUAAACUGGUGGCUGCGACUGUUUAAUAAAAACACAGCACUCUGCAAACACGAAAGUGGACGUAUAGGGUGUGACGCCUGCCCGGUGCCGGAAGAUUAAAUGAUGGGGUGCAAGCUCUUGAUUGAAGUCCCGGUAAACGGCGGCCGUAACUAUAACGGUCCUAAGGUAGCGAAAUUCCUUGUCGGGUAAGUUCCGACCUGCACGAAUGGCGUAACGAUGGCCACACUGUCUCCUCCCGAGACUCAGCGAAGUUGAAGUGUUUGUGAUGAUGCAAUCUACCCGCGGCUAGACGGAAAGACCCCAUGAACCUUUACUGUAGCUUUGCAUUGGACUUUGAACCGAUCUGUGUAGGAUAGGUGGGAGGCUAUGAAACCGGAACGCUAGUUUCGGUGGAGCCGUCCUUGAAAUACCACCCUGGUUUGUUUGAGGUUCUAACCUUGGCCCGUGAUCCGGGUCGGGGACAGUGCAUGGUAGGCAGUUUGACUGGGGCGGUCUCCUCCCAAAGCGUAACGGAGGAGUACGAAGGUACGCUAGGUACGGUCGGAAAUCGUGCUGAUAGUGCAAUGGCAUAAGCGUGCUUAACUGCGAGACCGACAAGUCGAGCAGGUGCGAAAGCAGGUCAUAGUGAUCCGGUGGUUCUGUAUGGAAGGGCCAUCGCUCAACGGAUAAAAGGUACUCUGGGGAUAACAGGCUGAUACCGCCCAAGAGUUCAUAUCGACGGCGGUGUUUGGCACCUCGAUGUCGGCUCAUCUCAUCCUGGGGCUGUAGCCGGUCCCAAGGGUAUGGCUGUUCGCCAUUUAAAGAGGUACGUGAGCUGGGUUUAAAACGUCGUGAGACAGUUUGGUCCCUAUCUGCCGUGGGCGUUGGAUAUUUGAAGGGGGCUGCUCCUAGUACGAGAGGACCGGAGUGGACGAACCUCUGGUGUACCGGUUGUCACGCCAGUGGCAUCGCCGGGUAGCUAUGUUCGGAAGAGAUAACCGCUGAAAGCAUCUAAGCGGGAAACUCGCCUUAAGAUGAGAUAUCCCUGGGGACUAGAUCCCCUUGAAGGGUCGUUCGAGACCAGGACGUUGAUAGGUCAGGUGUGUAAGCGCAGUAAUGCGUUCAGCUAACUGAUACUAAUUGCCCGUAAGGCUUGAUCCU